GGUGGCUCAGUGGUAGAGCGCUUGCCUUUUAUGAAUGAGGCCCUGGGUUCGAUUCCUCAGCACCA
Molecule: transfer RNA, 65 nt
Filed under: Dipodomys ordii (Ord's kangaroo rat)
Lineage: Eukaryota; Metazoa; Chordata; Mammalia; Rodentia; Heteromyidae
Rfam family: tRNA
About the family: Transfer RNA (tRNA) molecules are approximately 80 nucleotides in length. Their secondary structure includes four short double-helical elements and three loops (D, anti-codon, and T loops). Further hydrogen bonds mediate the characteristic L-shaped molecular structure. tRNAs have two regions of fundamental functional importance: the anti-codon, which is responsible for specific mRNA codon recognition, and the 3' end, to which the tRNAs corresponding amino acid is attached (by aminoacyl-tRNA synthetases). tRNAs cope with the degeneracy of the genetic code in two manners: having more than one tRNA (with a specific anti-codon) for a particular amino acid; and 'wobble' base-pairing, i.e. permitting non-standard base-pairing at the 3rd anti-codon position.
Source: Rfam by way of RNAcentral